RNAcentral lists this ribosomal RNA (567 nucleotides) under Triticum aestivum (bread wheat). Its description in RNAcentral is "partial small subunit ribosomal RNA". The record is from RNAcentral. Lineage: Eukaryota; Viridiplantae; Streptophyta; Magnoliopsida; Poales; Poaceae.
AUGACACGUAGAUGGACUACUGGUGAGCGAUGGGAAAAGGCAGAGGCGGGACAUGUCAAGGCAAGUGCUAUUGGUGCUCCAGACAAACGCUUGUGUUGUGGUGGUGCGAUCAUGCAUGAUCACCAUGGCAAGGAUAUAGACGUUCAUAGGCUUGUUCUGGAGAUGGGUUGCAUCAUACAGUCCCUGACAUAUUUGAAGAGGGACGGGUUCACACAUGGUUUUCUCAUUGAAGAGGUGAAGACUAUGCUACGGCCUCUAGAUGAUCACAAGAGCGCUAGAGAUUGGUACCUGCUUCAGCGAGAACAUUAUGACAGUGUGACAAGAGAGUUAAAAAACUACAGCCGUGAGGUUGUGUGGACUGAAAGGCUAGCUAAGCUGCUUAAUGUGGUAUACGUGCUGGGUACGCCUUUUAUCGUUGGCCCUUUGGUCUUAAAAGGGAUUGCCAUUCGGAGAAUGUGCCCUUUGUUCAGGGCCCUGGUUUAUGUACACUGGACUGCUAUGUGCAGCGCCAACUUUGCUAUGUGCAGAGCUAAGCUAUUAGCGAAAUCAUAUGGCUUAAGAUUAUAA